RNAcentral lists this ribosomal RNA (489 nucleotides) under uncultured bacterium. RNAcentral describes it as "partial 16S ribosomal RNA". It matches the Rfam family "Bacterial small subunit ribosomal RNA", at positions 28 to 507 of the family's 1533-position model. The record is from RNAcentral.
GACGAACGCUGGCGGCGUGCCUAACACAUGCAAGUCGAGCGGACAGGAUUGGCGCUUGUGGUGUUUCCGAGAGGGGCGGAGGGGAGUAUCACAUGUGUACAAUCCGCUUGCAUGAGGGAGAACUUCACGAAAAAGGGGCGAAUACAGCGGAUGACACCCUAGUCCGCGGGGUGUUCGGGUGAGAUGCGGCCUUUGGGGUGUCACUUGCGGCUGAUCGGGUAGUGCGUGGGGUAGUUGGUCACGAAGGCGUUGACGCGUAGGCGGCAUGAGAGGGUGACCGGCCACACUGGGAGUGAGACACGGCCCAGACUCAUACGGGAGGGAGCAGGAGGGAAUCGUGCGCAAGGGGCGAAAGCCUGACGGAGAGACGCCGCGUGAGGGAAGAAGGCCUUCGGGUCGUAAAGCUCUGUUGUGAGGGACGAAGGAGCGUCGUUCGAAGAGGGCGGCGCGGUGACGGUACCUCACGAGAAAGCCCCGGCUAACUACGUG